Molecule: non-coding RNA, 104 nt
Filed under: Bacillus sp. (in: firmicutes)
Lineage: Bacteria; Bacillati; Bacillota; Bacilli; Caryophanales; Bacillaceae
Description: Bacillus sp. SAM-I sequence
Rfam family: SAM riboswitch aptamer (S box leader)
About the family: The SAM riboswitch is found upstream of a number of genes which code for proteins involved in methionine or cysteine biosynthesis in Gram-positive bacteria. The SAM riboswitch acts at the level of transcription termination control. The predicted structure consists of a complex stem-loop region followed by a single stem loop terminator region.
Source: RNAcentral
ACUUUAUUCAGAGUAGGUGGAGGGACCGAGCCCGACGAAACCCGGCAACCGGCUAGUUAACUAGUACGGUGCUAAUUCUCGCAGCAUUUGCUGACAGAUAAGGU